GGAGACGUGCCGGAGCGGUUGAACGGGCCUGACCCGAAAUCAGGUAUACCAGAAAUGGUAUCGGAGGUUCGAAUCCUCCCGUCUCCGCCA
RNAcentral lists this transfer RNA (90 nucleotides) under Candidatus Jorgensenbacteria bacterium CG03_land_8_20_14_0_80_38_39. RNAcentral's name for it is "tRNA-Ser". It matches the Rfam family "tRNA". From Rfam's summary of the family: Transfer RNA (tRNA) molecules are approximately 80 nucleotides in length. Their secondary structure includes four short double-helical elements and three loops (D, anti-codon, and T loops). Lineage: Bacteria; Candidatus Joergenseniibacteriota. The record is from RNAcentral. RNAcentral also lists the same sequence under 1 other name.